UUGUUAAUGCAGGUUGACGAACCUCCAGUUUUUCAAGUAAAUACAGGUUUGUGUCAGGUUUAUGUUAUUGGUGGUUGAGCACUUUUUCCUUGAUAGACCUCACCUCACAAUAUAACCCACAUGGUGCAAGCUUCUAUCUCAAUUCCUGGGUAAAUGCUGGGUAAAGUCACUGUUGUCCACUGUGAGCACAAUAUUUUAAUUAAGAGAAAAUUGAUGUAGUGUUGUAAUUGAUAAAGAUAUUGUGGUACUUAGUUAAUUUUUUGUGUAAACCUUUCACAAACCUUCAGAGCAAAAAAAAAAAAAGGACCAUUGCUCAUUGCUUCCUUAUUAACAAAUUUCAAAAAGCUUUUUCUAUCCUAGAGAUAAUAUACAGUCUACCUUGUUUCAAGUAACUCUUAUCUUUGCUGGCAUAGGAGACUACCACUCCCGCAGACGCAGAGGCCCAGCUGUCUCUCCCAGUCACUCCAAGGAUCAUCAUGCUUGGAGAGACAAUCCUGACUGCAAAAAAAUGGAUGCUGUCGAUCGAGGGGAGGGUCGUAAUCCCACCUGGUGCUCACAUGGCAGACUUCACCACUGCCUUGGCCGCUCUCUUCGCCUGUUACUAUGUAUUCAACCUAGAGUAUCAGGUGGAAGCCAGCACAACACUGGAGUUUGUUCAGAGGUUUUUAGUCAGGAUUAAUCCUGACUCCAACAAGUGCACUGCCAAGGAGCAGAUGAGCAAGACGACUGGGAGAGUGGUGAAGCGGAAGACUUCAUACAUGAACCCCCAUGUAAUCUCCUUCAUCAGGGACUUCACGGAGUUCUAUUUGCUAACUGACUAGAUACAGGGCUCCAACUAGGAUUCUAGGUCUCCAAGGUCAGGGCAUGCAAGAGGCCAUAGUGGCAGGGGAAGUUUAUUUUCCUUUCUGUUUUAAAUGUUCAUGCAAAUGUUAAAUUUUUUUUUUUUUUUUUUAAAUGUUCAAUGUUUUAUUUUAUUUCAGUAUUGCCAUAGUGUUAUUUAUUACUCUUUAGAAUGUGGUAAUAAUCAGUUAUUUAAAAAGCUUCAAAGUAGUUAAAUAUUUUGACCGUGUUGUAUCAAUUUGCGUUAUUGUUCUGCCAUAGCAACCAGUCAUGUGGAACUAGUGAAUGAACUAGUAACAGUUUGCUCUGUAACUUUACAAAACUUGUAAUGAAAUAGCCUCGUUUUGUAAAAUUUUCUUAAGUCAGUAAUUAAAUUUAGCAACAGUAGAAUACGCAGAUAAUAGACUUCACGCCAUUAAAAAUUACAAACACAGAAUGUUCGUUAACUUUGGAUGGCAUAAUGACAUGUUGUCCAGUGUCAAUUAUCCCUUUAUGUUGUACCUGUUUUGUCAUUCCUGUUCACCAAAUGUUUUUAAAUAAAUAACUGUUAACAAUUUU
Carassius gibelio (silver crucian carp) is the source of this 1398-nucleotide long non-coding RNA. RefSeq lists it as uncharacterized. The record is from RefSeq and is a predicted model, not a curated record. NCBI's taxonomy places the organism in Eukaryota, Metazoa, Chordata, Actinopteri, Cypriniformes, Cyprinidae. The transcript is spliced from 4 exons.